RNAcentral lists this ribosomal RNA (468 nucleotides) under uncultured bacterium. Its description in RNAcentral is "partial 16S ribosomal RNA". It matches the Rfam family "Bacterial small subunit ribosomal RNA", at positions 28 to 507 of the family's 1533-position model. The record is from RNAcentral.
GAUGAACGCUGGCGGCGUGCUUAACACAUGCAAGUCGAACGGUGAAGCCCAACUUUCCUGGUGUGGUACAGGCGCACGCGUGUGUGACACACGAGUACCACCUGCUUCUCUCUCUGGUAAAAGCGGUAGACACGGCCUAUAACCCUAGAUACGCGACCACUGCGCGUUGGGACUUGGUAAGAUGUUUUUCGGUUGGGGAUGGUCUCGCGGCCUAUCAGCUUGUUGGUGAGGUAAUGGCUCACCAAGGCGACGACGGGUAGCCGGCCUGAGAGGGCGACCGGCCACACUGGGACUGAGACACGGCCCAGACUCCUACGGGAGGCAGCAGUGGGGAAUAUUGCACAAUGGGCGAAAGCCUGAUGCAGCGACGCCGCGUGAGGGAUGACGGCCUUCGGGUUGUAAACCUCUUUCAGCAGGGAAGAAGCGAAAGUGACGGUACCUGCAGAAGAAGCACCGGCUAACUACGUG